AGGUAAUCUACCCUUGUGUACGGGACAACAUCGGGAAACUGGUGCUAAUACCGUAUACGUUUCUCUUAUAGCGAUAUAUAGGAAAGAAAGGUGGCCUCUUCAUGAAAGCUACUGCACAAGGAUGAGCCUGCGUACCAUUAGCUAGUAGGUGGGGUAACGGCCCACCUAGGCGACGAUGGUUAGCGGGUCUGAGAGGAUGAUCCGCCACACUGGCACUGGAACACGGGCCAG
This 231-nucleotide ribosomal RNA is filed under the name uncultured bacterium. RNAcentral describes it as "partial 16S ribosomal RNA". It matches the Rfam family "Bacterial small subunit ribosomal RNA", at positions 119 to 334 of the family's 1533-position model. The record is from RNAcentral.